GGGCAAGUUUUCUUUGAUUCUGAAGUUGUGAAACAGCGGCUCGCCAGAGUGCUAAGUCCCCCACUCUGAAGGCUUUGCUCUUGACCCGAAAGUUGUAGUAGCGGACUACUUUUUGCUUGUAGGCUACCAUCCGAACUUGAGCUGUCUCCUGCUUUUCUUCUAAUAAGUCGAGGUUGGCCUUAAGAUCCCAUGAAUUGCGCUGCUCGUCGAAUGCCACGACUCGCACUGACGGAAGCUUGAGUUCAAUCAGGAUAACG
RNAcentral lists this long non-coding RNA (257 nucleotides) under Elaeis guineensis (African oil palm). RNAcentral describes it as "long non-coding RNA (EGUI_LNC067656)". The record is from RNAcentral. Lineage: Eukaryota; Viridiplantae; Streptophyta; Magnoliopsida; Arecales; Arecaceae.